This is a long non-coding RNA of Aethalodelphis obliquidens (Pacific white-sided dolphin), 7375 nucleotides long. RefSeq lists it as uncharacterized. The record is from RefSeq and is a predicted model, not a curated record. Lineage: Eukaryota; Metazoa; Chordata; Mammalia; Artiodactyla; Delphinidae. The transcript has 10 exons.
UUCGGGCUGAGGAGGGGCUGGGGAAGGCGGGAAAAUGGAAAGGCCUCGCUUGCCCCGCGAAGGACCUAUAGGAAUGCGGCGGGGCGCGGCGCGGCCGCUGAGUGGCCGAGAUGGGGCGGAGGCGGGUCGCGGCUGGGCGGAGCGACGGGUGGCCGCCCGGCUGGUCCGUCUGCGGAGGCUGUGCUGGGACUGCAGCGACGGCCCUCAAAAGUCCGAGCUUCUGUGGGUUUCCUCAGGAGCUUUCCGGCAUUGGCCAAGCUUUGAAAGAGCUUUAGGAACGAUAAAGAACUAAUAGAAACUUAAAGUAGUAUCACCCUCGCUUGACUGAAAUUUUGUGUGGAAACUAAGCUCAACGUGUCUGAGAUAAGGAAACUGAGGCAUAGAAAAAUAACGUGUCAAAUAGAGGCUUCCAGCCAGGAUCAAAUACAAUUACCAGUACAAACAGAAAAACCAACAGAAGAAAAAAGAAAACAAAUGAUUUUUGACCUAUUACUUAUCAGGUGCUUCAGGAGGAAGACAAAGAGAUGCCUGUGAUCUUUCAUCUUGAGGACCUUGGACGUUUCCUAACAGAAACCAGCCAGCAGUGCUUUUUUACAGCCAGCAGGCAGGGAGUUUCCAAAGGCAGGACAGGGAGCAGUUAAAGAGGCAGAGUUUCACCCCAAGCAGUGAGAGUGGCACCAUCCAGCUCCCUCUCCGGGAACCGUACUCAGCAUCUCAGCAUCAAGCUGCCAGAGCUCUGAACUGUGCCUAUUUGGAAUCCAUCGGGAGUUGUUUAAUGUGUAUGGUGUGAGUACCUUGAUCUUCAUUUGAGGAAUCCACCCCUCCCCAUGCAGCCCAGGUGCUUCCAGAGAAGCUGACCUACUCCCUGUGCCAAAAUAAAUGAUCAAGCAAGGAAACAGGAAAUCUUGGUCAAAUUUCCGGCCCAGGGUCCACAACAUAGAGAUUAGGACCUUGGGAGAAGCAGAUCCAGCAAACAGGAAACAAGCAAUGAAUAAAAAUUCCUUUUGCUCCACAUCCUCACCAGCAUUUGGUGCUGACAGUGUUCUGCAUUUUGGCCAUUCUCAUAGGUAUGUAGUGGGUCUACUUAUCUUUGCAGUUUUUACCCUUGUCCACCUCUCCACCCUCAUCAUUCCUUACAAUAGCUUAUCUUUUUCAGAAAGACCCAUGGAAUUUGAGAGCUGGGCUGUAGGUGGCACAAACUAAGCAACACUAGACACAUGAUAGAGGGAAAGACUGAGAAAGGACUGGCUCAAGUCAUGUGGGAGACCUGGGAAAAGGAACAAGGUGGCACCCCCUCAAGCUAAUAUUCUUUAAAUAGCUGAGGGCAGAAAAAAAUUCAUUUUCUAUUAAUAUAAAAUGUAUAGCUCGUUAUGGUUAAAAUAAUUUAUUACAUGCAUUGAAUAUAACAAUAUUUCCACUUAUUUGGAAUUGUCUUUCAUUUUACAUCACCUGGAACUUGAAUAGCAAUAUUACUACUCAUCAAGCAUAGAGGUAAAUUACAGCCACAAAGUCUUACUCAAAAUAUACUGAAUAUUACAAGUUCUUUUGUUUUUGUUUUUUCUAGUUUAUAUAUCACAAAAACAGUUCUAACUUUUCUGAAGUUCUUAUUCUUUCUUCAUUUUUCUUUUGGGAAUUUCUGAGCUAGACAACCUCUUGUAAGACACGUCCAUGGCUUUAAAAUGUAGAAAAUAACCAUCUGUCCCCAAAAAUUGUGUUAGAAAUUUGGAGUAGAAUACCAAACUCAAAUCCUACCCCCACCUCUUCUUCUGGCUGGCUUACCUGAGGGAGUAUGCACACCUGUACUAUGUCCCAAUGAGAACCCCAGAACCAUCUUAUUAGUAAGCAGGAAGUACACAACUUAAAGUGAAGCUUGAGUCAAGGCUGGGUGGAGGCCAAGAUAUCUAAGUGAGGCCUCUUGCUUUUCCAAUCCCAAAUCUAAGUCCUGUGACCUCCUCAAGUGCCAGAAGAGUAAGAGUAAGGAUAAGAAUAAGACUCAGGUUCUUAGGUAUUAAUAGCUGAGCUUAAGUCCACCUACCCGACCAGGUGCCAGGAUGAGAUUGGACUGCCAGACCCAUGAACUUAGGAAUCAAGAGGGAAAAAGAGGAAGUUUAAGCCUCCUUAGCAGAGUAGUCCACCCUCACUCCUUUACCCCCACCCCGCCUCUUGAUUUGCCUACUACAUGGAGAAAAUAUAUGCAAAACAGCCUGCUGCUCCUGGAGUAGGAAAUGAAAUAGCAGGCAUUAGGAUCCAUACGAAAGGAAAGUGUCUUUCAGUGUCACGAUCCCUCCCUCUAGGGAAGUGUCCCCAGAGUCUCUGAGCAGACUAGUCACUUCUUCCAUAUGGAACAUCUAAUAAGAGGGUAGAUAGAGGCAGAAGCUUAGAUGGAAGUUUCCUCCUUCAUGAGCUCUGGCAGAAAUGCAAUGAGACAUGCUACACAACACCCCGCAUAACCCAUUAUUUAUUCUCUCCUUAACAAAGGGCCUUAAUAAUCAAACCGCAGUUCAGCCAGGAUUGUCCAACUAGGAGAGAUUAGCAGCUCCUUCAUUUACUACCACUGCUCCUCACUGUAACUUCCUGGGACCAAUGAGAUGCACAGCUAAGUUAGUUCUCCAAAGAGUUUCUGUAAUGGGUCAUAACAGGUCAUUAAUCAAUUUAGCUUCAGGGCUGUCCUGUACCCUAGGCUAAAUAUUCACUCCCAGCCUUUCUCACCUUCUGAGAUGGCCCACACUCUCUGUAGAGUGUGUUUCUCUCUAAAUAAAUCCACUUCUUACCUAUCAAAAAAAAAAUUCACUCCCUAGUUUAUUUCCCAUCUGAAAUUAUGCCUAAUAAUAUUGUCCAAAACUGCUCAACAGAGAAGAUACUUUUAAACGUCCAAAUAAAACAACAAAGAAUGGUUGAAAAUGGAAUAAUGUGAAGCCCUCCCCAUUAUUAAAUUACCACAGAAAGUCAAGCCCAAAAUGAAUUCUUCUUCCUAGUGUAAAUUAAACUCCAAAGACCGUAAAGUGCAAUUACUCUUCUCCCUAGUUUCCUGAUCUUUUCAGCCUCUGUCAGAAGAUUCUCGCUCAAAUGCCUUGGGGUUUGGACUCCCUCAGCAGCCACUGCACUCUGAGCCUUCUUCCAUUACCAUGGGUGUAGCACCUUCAGUACCAUCAAAAUUGAAGUAAUCCACCCGAAUAUCUUGUGUCCCAUAAAUGUAAACGCAAAUGUGACUCCUGCAGUAACAGCAUUUUGCAAACAAAAUGAUAUUCCUAGAACCCAGUGUACGGACCCUCGUUGCUGUUGCUUGUUAGAGAUUGCAGCAGACUUAGUGUUAUCUGGGAGAAGGGGAGUAACGCACAGGGAACAAAAAAUGGAGAACAUCAUUUUGGUUUUCGCCACGCCAAGAUGCCUAUUAGAACACGUCAGUUUUCCAACUACUAUAUGUGAAUUUAAAUUCAGAUGGGAUAAAUUUCCCAUCAAGAGGUUAACUGUGACAUAGGACAUAGCUGCUUUUAAUAAGGACAGGGUUGACUUUCUACAUAACAUCUUCCUCCUUCUCCCAAAAAGGGACCCACAUCUCCUCUGUCCAGCUGACCACAUCUGAAGCUUCAGGGGCAAUUCUUAUUGGCCUAAGAGUAAUCCCCUCAUGCUUGCCAGAGAUUAACUCAAGAAUGGGCAUAAGGGCCCAACUGGGUACAGAGACAUGGGGAGGUUUACAGUGGUAGCAUCUUCAGUGUCUACUAGAUCACACCCAAAUCUUCUUUCUUUCUCUUGAUAUCCUUCCCAUGUUUUGAACACUUUUGUUUCCAUUUCCCUUUUGAAUCUGGUGUUUCUGGCCUGGAAGCCCAGUGUUAAAUUGAGCCUGGUCUCUGUUGAGUGACACCACUUCCUUUUCCAUAGUGAAUGCAGCAUGGCACAUUUGAUAAUAGGCAUCCCUGCAGUCCAUGCUUAUCUGAUCUUCUCAGGGUAUUUGUCCAUCUCCAGUAGGACCCCAAGUCUUUUUAAACUUUAUGACACAGCUGCUGCCACUGUAUCCUGUUCUAGAACCCCUUAGGUGUAUUAACCUUGCUUCCAAGAUCCUCUUUCCUGAAAUGUAUCUUAGCUGGAUUAUCAUUCAACAAAUUCCUGAAUCUGAAGCUUCUAUUGAUGCCUGCAUAGGCCAUAAUCUCAGGAUCAUAGAGGGUCUAAUAUAUCCUCUGACAUGUGCUCCUCUAAAGCCCUCUUCCUUUACCUUUCAAAUUCUCUAGUCCUUGAGUGACUUGUGCCAUUUCAUGUAUUACUUUCUGCCAUUUCUUUUUCCACUUCUGUUCCAUUUCUUUCUAUAAUUCCUACUCCUUUCAUGGAGGCCUGAGUUGCUGGGUUUGUUCUUUUUUUUUUUAAUAUUUAUUUGUUUAUUUGGCUGCGUUGGGUCUUAGUUGCGGCACUUAGUUGCGGCACUUAGUUGCGGAUCUUCAUUGCAGCACGCGGGAUCUUUCAUUGCCUCGUGCAGGCUUCUCUCUAGUUGUGGCGUGUGGGCUCCAGGGAUCGAACCCGUGUCUCCUGUAUUGGAAGAUGGAUUCUUAACCACUGCACCACCAGAGAAGUCCUGAGGCCUGAGUUUUUAAAUUUUAACAUACUACUUAAAUGGGCCCAGUUCUUUCAAUAACACAGAUAAACCUCCAGCUGCAUUCUUUUAUCUUCGCUUCCUUCCCUCCUCCCUCCCUCCCUCCCUUCCUUCCUUUCUUUCUCUUUCUAGGCCCAUGCAUUUGCUUCCUGACAUACUCCAUAGACUCUCUCUUGAGAGGCUCCCAUAGUGAAAAAAUGUCAGAAUAUUCUGCAUCUACCACAAGAUCCUCAGUUCAAAUAUUGCUUGAGUGGAGACAAUCCUGCAUAGGUCUUCUCCCAUCAGUUUCCACCCAUGCCUGAUCUCUACCUAUUGUUGCUCUGCCUGACUCUUUCUUUUUGGUGUUGUCUUCCCUGUACCUUUAAAAUAUUUUUCUAAUAUCAUUCAUUUUCUAGACAUACUUUCUUAUAACAAGAGCCAUACCUACUUCCCUACAUAUAAUGUCUGUGUAAUCUUGAAAAUCAUCAAGUAGGGCCUGAAAUAACAUCAAUACCAACAGCAAUGACAAUAACAGCUAAUAGUUUACUGAGCUCCUACUACACACCAAGCACUGUUCUAAGCAUCUUAUAAUCCUCACAAUUCCAUGAAAUGACGACUAUUAUCACACCCAUUUUACAGAUGUAGAAACUGAAGCACAGAGAGGUUAAGUAAUUUGCCCAAGAUCACACAGCCAGUAAGUGGCAGAGCCCCGUCACGGUCUUUCACUCAUAUCUGCCCACCCUUCAGUCACUUACCAGUCCUUUCAUAAUACAACACCCUUUUAUUGUUUGGCCUAGUCAUCUCUCAAUGCUUCGAAAUUGGGUUCUCCUUUUAAAAAGCAAAAAUAAAGAUUUACAACAGUCUAUCACAGCCCAUCCUAAAUCUUGAACAUAAUUAAUUUCUUUUAAUAGGGCUACGUCUCUAUUAUUCCACAGGGAAAGGUAUUAAAGUUAGAUUCUAUAAUUUUUUUUAAAGAUAACCUCUAUAAUGAGGAUCAUUUGAUUGCAUGCUUACCAGGUUUUCCCACAUAUACAUUACAUUUAAAUCCUUAGUUCCAAGUUAAUUUUCACUUCCUGAUAAAAUAUUAUCUGAGCAUGUACUAAAGAAUGAAUUUUUGCAGCUUAGUGAGAUAAGUCAUUCAUACUCUAACAAGGAUAUUUUAAACAGCUGGUUAUUCCUCCAGGAAAACGGUAUUCAGAUCAGACUAAUUUCCUAAAUGACAUAAAAGGAGUGAGCAGUUUUCAGGUGUCUUAUGUAACUGAGUGCUGAUGGCUUAGGACUAGAUGACGGAAUGAUAGAGAAAGGGGAAGCUGAAUCUUUGAAAUGGUAAAAAUUAUCAUUUAAAAAUCACAGUAAAUAUCACCUGCCAGGUAUUAAAAUGAUGAAAGGGCUUAUUUUUUCCACACUCCUAUUGUGAUAGGUUUUAUAAACAAAUAAUUUUAAGUACACUAACCUGUUAGGCACCAGUAAUUAAUUGAGAAAAAACAAACACAAAUAUUCUUGAAGAGAGAGCAAACCCUGAGGGAGUUUAGUCCUCUGAAAUUAUGCUAAGUGUAUAUUGAAAUCAUUCUGGAAGCCUCCUACCCCAAAUAAAAAUCCCCUUUUUCUCUCUCACACAUAACUUCUGUGGCAGCUGACUGACAGGAUUAUCUGCUAACACAGGUGGACCUGGCGAUGGCUAAAACCAUCCGGAAUAUUUUAGGUUUUCACUGGAAGAAUUAAGAGUCUAUAAUAUCUGUGAAUGGAAAGGGCACUAAGUCUAGUGCAGAUAUUAACUUUGCCACCAAGUAGUUAUGGGAUUUUGUUCUGUCACCUCAUUUCUUUGAAUUUGUUUCCCAAUCUAUCAAAUACAAAAAUGAGAAUUAAAUGAUCUCCAAGGCCCGUUCUAACAACUCCCAAGUUCCACAAUUUUAAGAUGGUUUUGAACACUUCUUCACAAAGAAGUCUCUAACAUUUAAUCCUGUAAGAUAAACUAAAAAUAUGUAGGAACCAGUGAUAUGGGGAUAGGAUAUUUAAUAUCUCCCAAUAGAUACUCCACUAUUGUUAAACUACCUUCUCUGUUGCACUCCAUCAGCUAUCACAGCUCUGAAAAAGGGAGCAGAGCAGAUGCCAUCACAAGAAUGAAGAGGAUAUGGUACAUAAGGAAAGCUCUUGUCAUACAAGAAGAAUAAAAAUCCACCUCUUUUUUAAAACGUUUUUAUUGAAAUAUAGUUGAUUUACAAUGUUGGGUUAGAAAAAUCCAUCUCUUGCAGCCCUAAAAAAUGAUGGAAAAAAGGACAGAAAAAGGUAAUCAGAUCCGGUGUGCUUACUUCCUGUCCCUUCUCAGCAUGAAAACUAGAAUUGGAGGUAUAUAGUUGACGUAUUCACAUAUUAUAGACAUAGGGUAAUUCAAGAAAAAUGGGGAUAGUGGUUUGCUUCUCUGGGCAUGCCUGUGAGAGGCUGAGUCUUCCAGGAACUCUGCUUUCAGCUUAUGGGAUGUUCAACAUGACAUAGGGAGAAUAAUGCAACAUUGGUGGAGGGAGGUGGCUCAACAGAUGAGCCUGAAGCAAAGCUCCUGGCUCACCAAGGCCUACGUGGGAUAUUCUGGGAAUCCAGAAGUUCCCAUAUGUCUCAGUGAGAAGAUGGAAUACCAUCAUGAGGAUCAAUGGACCUGCAGAGGCCUGGGGUCAGUACAGAGGUUGCAGUGUAUAAGGCAGUGUGGACUUCAGUAAAGAAAGCAGCACAACUUCUCAAAAGGACAAAAUGAGCAGUUUUAUCUCUGAGGCUAACAGUUCUGCUUUCAGAGUAUACCAGACACUCCAUACCAAAGGAAAA